GGGUUCCUGGCAUGCUGAUUUGUGACUUAAAAUUAAAAUCACAUUGCCAGGGAUUACCAC
This 60-nucleotide microRNA precursor is filed under the name Alligator mississippiensis (American alligator). RNAcentral describes it as "Ami-Mir-23-P2_pre stem-loop". It matches the Rfam family "mir-23 microRNA precursor family", at positions 9 to 65 of the family's 73-position model. The record is from RNAcentral. RNAcentral also lists the same sequence under 1 other name. Lineage: Eukaryota; Metazoa; Chordata; Crocodylia; Alligatoridae.